GGGUAUAGUUUAAAGGUAGAACGGAGGUCUCCAAAACCUUUGGUGUGGGUUCAAUUCCUACUACCC
Molecule: transfer RNA, 66 nt
Filed under: uncultured Sporolactobacillus sp.
Lineage: Bacteria; Bacillati; Bacillota; Bacilli; Caryophanales; Sporolactobacillaceae
Rfam family: tRNA
About the family: Transfer RNA (tRNA) molecules are approximately 80 nucleotides in length. Their secondary structure includes four short double-helical elements and three loops (D, anti-codon, and T loops). Further hydrogen bonds mediate the characteristic L-shaped molecular structure. tRNAs have two regions of fundamental functional importance: the anti-codon, which is responsible for specific mRNA codon recognition, and the 3' end, to which the tRNAs corresponding amino acid is attached (by aminoacyl-tRNA synthetases). tRNAs cope with the degeneracy of the genetic code in two manners: having more than one tRNA (with a specific anti-codon) for a particular amino acid; and 'wobble' base-pairing, i.e. permitting non-standard base-pairing at the 3rd anti-codon position.
Source: RNAcentral